UGUGCUGUAUGACAUUGUCUUUUCACAUCACUAAGUCUAUUUUCUUGUAGGUGAAAUAUGAAUAUUGACAAAGUUGGUAUGAGGAUUAAGUGAGAUAAUGCAUUUAAAGCACAUAGUCUCAACAAACAAUAGUUAUGACUGUUAUUAUGAUCAUUGUUACUAUUCUUGAACGGGCAGUGAAUACAUUGUGCUAACCCUGGAUGUGCCAGAUAGGUGUCUUCUGCCUCUCAGAUACAGGAUGUCUCCUGUAAAGCAAAACAAAAACCUAUCCUGAUCUUCCUGGAUGAUUCAUAAAUGCUUGGUGAACAGUUUUUACUACACAUUUGUUCCCUGAUAGCCCCUUAGAAGUCUGUGGAAUUGGCUGGGCAUGGUGGCUUACCCAUGUAAUACCAGCACUUUGAGAGGCAGAGGUGGGCAGAUAACUUGAGGUCAGGAGUUCGAGACCAGCCUGACCAACAUGGUGAAACCCCGUCUCUACUAAAAAUACAAAAAUUAGCCGGGCGUUUUGGUGGGCGUCUGUAAUCUCAGCUACUUGGGAGGCUGAGACAGGAGAAUUGCUUGAACCCAUGAGGCGGAGGUUGCAGUGAGUCGAGAUUGCACCACUGCACUCCAGCUUGGGUGACAGAGUGAGACUCUGUCUCAAAAAAAAAGAAAGAAAUCUGUGGAAUAGUUGCCUGAGUCUUUGGGUGUGGGAUACUUAUGCAGCAUAGCGGCUUCAAUACCGUGCUCUGAAGUCUCGGGUCUAGUUACUAUGGAAUGGAAAGCUGAGGACAAGGACUAGAAGGAGAUUCUUCGGUAGUUUUUUGAACUCAACUUGUCCAUUCCAGCUAAACUUUAUUUCUCAUGCAACAUAAGUCUAUGAAGGCAAGAUUUUUCUUGGCAGCAUAAUUACUGCUACCCAAUAAGGGAAGAGAAUUUCCUUCUAAAGAUUCCUGCUGUUUUCUUAGCAGGUGGGAACUUUUGCACUCUGCAGCUGCUGGGUGCCAUUGCUGUCCAUCCUGGGCUUGCUCUUUCCAUUCUGAGAUGGGAAUGGAAAAAUCCACAGGGAACAAUUGGUAAUUCCAUCCUGAUUGGUAUGCAUUUUGGGGUGUUGGUUUUGUUUUGUUUUGUUUUGCUUGCUUGUUUUUCUUUGGUACUUCUAUUCUGUAACCUUAUCACUUAUAGUUUUUGAAAAGUCAAGAUGCAUCGUUUGACACAUAAUUAAAUAUUUGAAAACAGGGACUGUCCUGGAACUCUUGGACUUUGGGCUACUGUGUGCAUAACCUCAUGGAGGAGUCUGAGCAGCUCUGUCCAUCUGUAUGUGAAGGAUCAAAGUUUGCCCCAGGCUGGAGUGCAGUGGUGCGAUUUUGGCUCACAGCAGCCUUGAGCUCCUCGGCUCAAGCAAUCCUCCUGCCUCAGCCUCCCGAGUAGUUGGGAUUACAGGCAUAAGCCACCAUAUCUGGCUUGUGUAUUAUAAUUUUUAAGGGUGAUUUUGUAAAAUAAAAAAAGCAUAACCUUUGUUUUCUCAGAC
This is a long non-coding RNA of Symphalangus syndactylus (siamang), 1510 nucleotides long. RefSeq lists it as uncharacterized. The record is from RefSeq and is a predicted model, not a curated record. Lineage: Eukaryota; Metazoa; Chordata; Mammalia; Primates; Hylobatidae.